RNAcentral lists this ribosomal RNA (2902 nucleotides) under Clostridium perfringens. Its description in RNAcentral is "bacterial LSU rRNA". It matches the Rfam family "Bacterial large subunit ribosomal RNA". Lineage: Bacteria; Bacillati; Bacillota; Clostridia; Eubacteriales; Clostridiaceae. RNAcentral also lists the same sequence under 1 other name. The record is from RNAcentral.
UCAAGCUACAAAGGGCGCAUGGUGAAUGCCUUGGUAUCAGGAGCCGAUGAAGGACGUGAUAAGCUGCGAUAAGCUUCGGGUAGGCGCACAUAGCCUGAGAUCCGAAGAUCUCCGAAUGAGGAAACUCACAUGGGAAACCCCAUGUAUCAUUAAGUGAAUACAUAGCUUAAUGAAGGUAACCCAGGGAACUGAAACAUCUAAGUACCUGGAGGAAGAGAAAGAAAAAUCGAUUUUCUUAGUAGCGGCGAGCGAAAGGGAAAAAGCCCAAACCGGAAACUUGUUUCCGGGGUUGUGGACAGAACAUAACGAUUGGUAGGACGUAAUCGAAGAGAACUGGAAAGUUCCACCGUAGAAGGUAAUAGUCCUGUAGAUGAAACGGGAAAUCAAUCAGUUCUGAUCCAGAGUACCACGAGACACGUGAAACCUUGUGGGAAGCAGGGAGGACCACCUCCCAAGGCUAAAUACUACCUGAUGACCGAUAGUGAAGCAGUACCGUGAGGGAAAGGUGAAAAGAACCCCGGGAGGGGAGUGAAAUAGAACCUGAAACCGUGUGCCUACAACCGCUCAGAGCCCCUUAUGAGGGUGAUGAGGUGCUUUUUGUAGAACGAGCCAACGAGUUACGGUAUGUAGCAAGGUUAAGUACUUAAGGUACGGAGCCGAAGGGAAACCGAGUCUGAAUAGGGCGACUAGUUGCAUGCCGUAGACCCGAAACCGGGUGACCUAUCCAUGGCCAGGUUGAAGCGAGGGUAAAACCUCGUGGAGGACCGAACCACGUUGCUGUUGAAAAAGCAUGGGAUGAGCUGUGGAUAGCGGAGAAAUUCCAAUCGAACCCGGAGAUAGCUGGUUCUCUCCGAAAUAGCUUUAGGGCUAGCGUCGAGUAUGAGUAGUGGAGGUAGAGCACUGAAUGGGCUAGGGGGCAUAGCGCUUACCGAACCUUAUCAAACUCCGAAUGCCACAUACUUUGAGCUCGGCAGUCAGACUACGAAUGAUAAGAUCCGUGGUCAAAAGGGAAACAGCCCAGAUCGUCAGCUAAGGUCCCAAAGUGUAAGUUAAGUGGGAAAGGAUGUGAGAUUUCUAAGACAACUAGGAUGUUGGCUUAGAAGCAGCCAUUCAUUAAAAGAGUGCGUAAUAGCUCACUAGUCGAGAGAUCUUGCGCCGAAAAUGUAACGGGGCUAAACUUACCACCGAAGCUACGGGCUUGAACUUAGUUCAAGCGGUAGGAGAGCGUCGUAACCGGGCUGAAGUCGUACCGUAAGGAGCGGUGGACUGGUUACGAGUGAGAAUGUUGGCAUCAGUAGCGAGAUGUGGGUGAGAAUCCCACAGGCCGAAAACCUAAGGUUUCCUCAGGAAGGUUCGUCCGCUGAGGGUUAGUCGGGACCUAAGCCGAGGCCGAAAGGCGUAGGUGAUGGACAACUGGUUGAUAUUCCAGUACCACUACCAUCGUUAUUAUCGAUGGCGUGACGCAGGAGGAUAGUGUGUGCUAGCUAUUGGAUGCUAGUCUAAGCGUUUAGGCAGUGAGAGUAGGCAAAUCCGCUCUCAUAAUGCUGAGGCGUGAUGGGGAAGGUUCUACGGAACCGAAGUACAUGAUUCCACGCUGCCAAGAAAAGCGUCUAGAGAGAGAAGUAGUGCCCGUACCGCAAACCGACACAGGUAGGUGAGGAGAGAAUCCUAAGGCCGGCGGAAGAAUUACAGUUAAGGAACUCGGCAAAUUGACCCCGUAAGUUCGCGAGAAGGGGUGCCUACGAGAGUAGGCCGCAGAGAAUAGGCCCAAGCAACUGUUUAGCAAAAACACAGGUCUCUGCUAAAGCGUAAGCUGAUGUAUAGGGGCUGACGCCUGCCCGGUGCUGGAAGGUUAAGGGGAACACUUAGCGUAAGCGAAGGUGUGAACUUAAGCCCCAGUAAACGGCGGCCGUAACUAUAACGGUCCUAAGGUAGCGAAAUUCCUUGUCAGGUAAGUUCUGACCCGCACGAAUGGCGUAAUGACUUGGGCACUGUCUCAACUGUAAAUCCGGCGAAGUUGUAGUGCGAGUGAAGAUGCUCGCUACCCGCGAUUGGACGGAAAGACCCCGUAGAGCUUUACUGUAGCUUAGCAUUGAGUUUUGGUAUUGUCUGUACAGGAUAGGUGGGAGACUAGGAAACCAGGGCGUCAGCCUUGGUGGAGUCAACCUUGGGAUACCACCCUGACAGUACUGAAAUUCUAACUGGCGGCCAUGAAUCUGGUCACAGGACAUUGUUAGGUGGGCAGUUUGACUGGGGCGGUCGCCUCCUAAAAAGUAACGGAGGCGCCCAAAGGUUCCCUCAGAACGGUCGGAAAUCGUUCGAAGAGUGCAAAGGCAGAAGGGAGCCUGACUGCGACACCCACAAGUGGAGCAGGGACGAAAGUCGGGCUUAGUGAUCCGGUGGUACCUCGUGGGAGGGCCAUCGCUCAACGGAUAAAAGCUACCUCGGGGAUAACAGGCUGAUCUCCCCCAAGAGUCCACAUCGACGGGGAGGUUUGGCACCUCGAUGUCGGCUCGUCGCAUCCUGGGGCUGAAGUAGGUCCCAAGGGUUGGGCUGUUCGCCCAUUAAAGCGGCACGCGAGCUGGGUUCAGAACGUCGUGAGACAGUUCGGUCCCUAUCCGUCGCGGGCGUAGGAAAUUUGAGAGGAGCUGUCCUUAGUACGAGAGGACCGGGAUGGACUGACCUCUGGUGUACCAGUUGUUCCGCCAGGAGCACAGCUGGGUAGCUAAGUCGGGAAUGGAUAAACGCUGAAAGCAUCUAAGCGUGAAGCCAACCUCAAGAUGAGAUUUCCCAUAGCAUAAGCUAGUAAGAUCCCUUGAAGAACACAAGGUUGAUAGGUCGGGGGUGUAAGCAUGGUAACAUGUUCAGCUGACCGAUACUAAUAGAUCGAGGGCUUGACCAA